UUUAUGUAGGAUAAAACAGGUUUCUUUUUCUAUAGAUAAAGUUAGUUGCUAGAAGAAUCUAGUAUAAAGAAUUUGGCUUUGGUUCGCUUAUAUAAUUAUACCAAAGAGAUACACAUGGUUGUUGUUACGAUAGGUGAGUGAAGAUUGAUGAUGGGUGCUAGAUAAAAUUUAUUUACUCAUUGGAUAUCAGAAACAUUAUAAUAAUAAGAUGUUGAGUUAUCCACUAACACCAGUGUAGGAUAUUUUAAAAGCAUGAAAGUGUGUAUAAGGUUAAGUAUGGUUCAAUUGGUUAUUUUAGUGCCAGCAGUUGCGGUUAAACUAAAGAUUGAGGUUAUACAAAUAUAGCUAGACAGUGAUACAGUAAAGGGGGUAAGAAAUAGUAGAUAUGUGGUAGAAUAUUAUUUAUUAAAAUUCAAAGUACUCUACAUGUGAAGCUGUGAAAUCUAGAGGGAAGACUAGGAUUAGAUACCCUAUUAUUCUUGGGCUUAAAUUAUGAAGCUAGAGUACUACGAAUAGAUAUAUUUAAAACUCAAAAAGCUUGGCGGUGCUGCAUAACAUAUUAGGGGAGCUUGUCUCGUAAGCGAUGAUCCACGAGGAACCUUACCUUACCUACUAGUUUAUAUACCGUCGUCGUCAGUCAACUUUUUAAGAAUAUAGAGGUAGGCGGGAGAGCGUACAGCUAUGAUGUCAGAUCGAGGUGCAGCUAAUGGUGAGGAGAGGAUGAGCUACAAUUAAGAUACAUAAUACGGAUGAUCAAGAUUGAAACAUAGGUUUGAAGGUGGACUUAAAAGUAAAAACAUAUAUCAGAAUGUUUUGAAUAUUAUGGUCAGCGUGUACAUAUCGCCCGUCGCUCUCGUUGAAAAAUGAGAUAAGUCGUAACAUAGUAGGGGUACUGGAAAGUGUUCCUGG
This 909-nucleotide non-coding RNA is filed under the name Eualetes tulipa. Lineage: Eukaryota; Metazoa; Mollusca; Gastropoda; Littorinimorpha; Vermetidae. The record is from RNAcentral.